CAGAGAUGAUGAUACAAGAGAUUGGUUUCGCUUUCAUAACUGAUGUUAUGUGAUGUCACACUUCUCUUGGCUGUCUGAUUAA
Molecule: small nucleolar RNA, 82 nt
Organism: Misgurnus anguillicaudatus (oriental weatherfish)
Lineage: Eukaryota; Metazoa; Chordata; Actinopteri; Cypriniformes; Cobitidae
Product: small nucleolar RNA SNORD53/SNORD92
Source: RefSeq, a predicted model, not a curated record